GAUGAACGCUGGCGGCGUGCCUAAUACAUGCAAGUCGAGCGAACAGACGAGGAGCUUGCUCCUCUGACGUUAGCGGCGGACGGGUGAGUAACACGUGGAUAACCUACCUAUAAGACUGGGAUAACUUCGGGAAACCGGAGCUAAUACCGGAUAAUAUAUUGAACCGCAUGGUUCAAUAGUGAAAGACGGUUUUGCUGUCACUUAUAGAUGGAUCCGCGCCGCAUUAGCUAGUUGGUAAGGUAACGGCUUACCAAGGCGACGAUGCGUAGCCGACCUGAGAGGGUGAUGGGCCACACUGGAACUGAGACACGGUCCAGACUCCUACGGGAGGCAGCAGUAGGGAAUCUACCGCAAAGGGCGAAAGCCUGACGGAGCAACGCCGCGUGAGUGAUGAAGGUCUUCGGAUCGUAAAACUCUGUUAUGAGGGAAGAACAAAUGUGUAAGUAACUAUGCACGUCUUGACGGUACCUAAUCAGAAAGCCACGGCUAACUACGU
This 496-nucleotide ribosomal RNA is filed under the name uncultured bacterium. Its description in RNAcentral is "partial 16S ribosomal RNA". It matches the Rfam family "Bacterial small subunit ribosomal RNA", at positions 28 to 506 of the family's 1533-position model. The record is from RNAcentral.